CAAUUAAAGGUGUGCACCACCACGCUCGGCUCAUUUGCUGUUCUUGUAGAGGACCAGGAUUCAGGUCCCAGCAUCGCAUUGUGGUUCACAGAUAACAUUAACUCCAGUUCUUGGUGAUCUGACACCCUCCUGUGACCUCCAAAGCCACCAGGUACACAUUGGUGACCACAGAGGCAAGAAGAGGACAGUGGAUCACUUUGAAACGGACCAUAGUGAGCCAGCUGCAAUAUGAGUGCUCCAAAUCAAAUGCAGGCCUUCUGGAAGAGCCAUCAGUGUUCUUAACUGCUGACCCAGCUCUCCAGCCCUGCUGCUGACUUUUUACACGGAAAGCAAUAGUCCCUGAAAGAUCUAAUUGAUAAGCUGGAUUUCAUUGAAGCUAAAUUGUCUUUUCUGACUGGGUCUGGUGUCAGGGGGUUCUAAUUCCAGCUACUUAGAAGGCUGAGGCAGGAGGAUCAGAAUUUCAGGUCCUGCUUGAGCAACUUAGGGAGACCCUGUCUUGAAACAAAAAAAUGAAAAGAAGGCUGUGAUAUAGCUUGGUGGUAAAAAGAGGGGGCUUGCCUAGCAUUUGUAAAGCCCUAUGUUCAAUCUCGGUACUUCAGUAAAGAAGGCAAAACCCCUUCUG
Cricetulus griseus (Chinese hamster) is the source of this 622-nucleotide non-coding RNA. Lineage: Eukaryota; Metazoa; Chordata; Mammalia; Rodentia; Cricetidae. The record is from RefSeq and is a predicted model, not a curated record.